AAUUACUUUUUUUUAUAUAAUAUGCAAAAACACAAUUUUUUAGACUUCAGUUCUUUUGAAAGUUUAUAUAGAUAUGUAUGCUUACAAUAUGUUAAUAAGAUAAUAUUAUAUUAAUGAAACAAACAAACAUCAGUUCUCACACGGUACUACUGGUUCGGAGCCAGUAUGAUGACAUUCAACUCCCGGGUUCGAGAACUGGUACGAGAGAGGAGAGAGAGAAGAAGAAAUGGAAAAAAAUUGAUAUAUGAGGUAUUUUAAAAUACCUUUU
RNAcentral lists this long non-coding RNA (268 nucleotides) under Carica papaya (papaya). RNAcentral's name for it is "long non-coding RNA (CPAP_LNC012031)". Lineage: Eukaryota; Viridiplantae; Streptophyta; Magnoliopsida; Brassicales; Caricaceae. The record is from RNAcentral.